This 140-nucleotide ribosomal RNA is filed under the name Porphyromonadaceae bacterium. RNAcentral's name for it is "partial 23S ribosomal RNA". It matches the Rfam family "Bacterial large subunit ribosomal RNA", at positions 1 to 142 of the family's 2925-position model. Lineage: Bacteria; Pseudomonadati; Bacteroidota; Bacteroidia; Bacteroidales; Porphyromonadaceae. The record is from RNAcentral.
AAAAACAGAUAAGGGCAGACGGUGGAUGCCGUGGCUCUCGGAGGCGAAGAAGGACGUGAUAAGCUGCGAUAAGCUACGGGGAUUGGCACAUACAAAUUGAUCCGUAGAUUUCCGAAUGGGGCAACCCGGUACAUUGAAGA